GGUGGUUCUGCACUUUGCACUAUUGCACUCGCUUUUGCUUUCUUUACCAAAAAGCAGGACCCAACAACCUACGGUUAGGUUAUACUGUACGCAAAAAACCCCAGGCAAACAAAACCACCACCACCGACGAAGUCCUUGGCCGGGAGGGGCAGCCUGGUUGCCCACCCGUACUGAAAAGCACAGCAAGCUUGAAUGGACGCCGAGUAAAAGAAGAGGCCCGCCUUCCAGCGGAGGUGUUUCCCGGUAACUAUUGCAAGCUUGAAUGAAAAGGGGAGUUUGGUGUUUGGUUUUUUUUUUUAAUGAACAGCUUCCCGCUCCGCGGCCGAUUUGCUGAAGGUAACUUUGCUCCCAGCACACUGUAUUGCUGCAGAGAGACGUCCCAUGGAAAAUUGAAGACAAAAUUAAUCUCUGAACGCAAACGAUAAAUGCCCAAGAAGUGAGGCAAAAAAUAAAAACACCAAAGAAAGAA
Non-coding RNA from Phalacrocorax carbo (great cormorant), 469 nucleotides. Lineage: Eukaryota; Metazoa; Chordata; Aves; Suliformes; Phalacrocoracidae. The record is from RefSeq and is a predicted model, not a curated record.